AGUGAACGCUGGCGGUAGGCCUAACACAUGCAAGUCGAACGGCAGCACAGUAAGAGCUUGCUCUUACGGGUGGCGAGUGGCGGACGGGUGAGGAAUACAUCGGAAUCUACUUUUUCGUGGGGGAUAACGUAGGGAAACUUACGCUAAUACCGCAUACGACCUACGGGUGAAAGCAGGGGAUCUUCGGACCUUGCGCGAUUGUAUGAGCCGAUGUCGGAUUAGCUAGUUGGCGGGGUAAAGGCCCACCAAGGCGACGAUCCGUAGCUGGUCUGAGAGGAUGAUCAGCCACACUGGAACUGAGACACGGUCCAGACUCCUACGGGAGGCAGCAGUGGGGAAUAUUGGACAAUGGGCGCAAGCCUGAUCCAGCCAUACCGCGUGGGUGAAGAAGGCGUUCGGGUUGUAAAGCCCUUUUGUUGGGAAAGAAAAGCAGCAGGUUAAUACCCCGCUGUUCUGACGGUACCCAAAGAAUAAGCACCGGCUAACUUCGUG
This 492-nucleotide ribosomal RNA is filed under the name uncultured bacterium. Its description in RNAcentral is "partial 16S ribosomal RNA". It matches the Rfam family "Bacterial small subunit ribosomal RNA", at positions 29 to 507 of the family's 1533-position model. The record is from RNAcentral.